AUCAUUGAGAAGGGAAUGCCUGGGUAUGUGGACCGAUUUGCUUUUUGUUGAAAAGGGCUGGCCGUAGAUCUACUGUGGAAAAAUGAGGAGCUUUAUUGAAUAAAUUUUCAUCAUUUUAGGUUUUAGUGAGUAUAAAGGUUGUCCUUCCUUUGGGGGCUUAAUGAUGAUUAUAUGCUCACUUUCUAACUUUGAGUCAGAAAAAAGAGGAUGUUCCAACAUACAGGCUGUUGUUUCAUUUUAUUAUAGUUUUCUUAAGCACUAGUGUACCUGGCCUGUGGAGAAGUGCUAAAUAUUGGAAUGAGAACAUAUUUUAUUUGCUAAAUGCCUUGCUUAUUGAGGAUAGAUUUAUUUUGGACAUUGUCAAGUGUGACCCUAAAUGCAAAAAGAAUUGAUGAUGCUUGCUUCCCACCAUGGACCGUAAAUUUGUGUACCAAAAUAGAAAGUAAAUUUGCAUUCCUGAUUUUCUUUCUGGUGAAUGCAGAUUUAGUACCGCCCAGAAACUAGACAAGCUUGGGAUGCGAGGAAGUGAUACAUGUGAGCUUGUCUUUGAGAAUUGCUUUGUUCCAGAAGAAAAUGUGCUUGGGCAAGAAGGAAAAGGAGUUUAUGUCAUGAUGUCAGGGCUAGAUUUGGAAAGACUUGUUUUGGCUGCUGGACCUUUGGGUAUCAUGCAGGCAUGUCUUGAUGUUGUUCUUCCUUAUAUUCGACAAAGAGAACAGUUCGGCCGUCCAAUUGGGGAAUUUCAGUUUAUACAGGGGAAAAUUGCUGACAUGUAUACUUCUUUACAAUCUUCAAGGUCCUAUGUUUAUUCUGUUGCAAGGGACUGUGACAAUGGGAAAGUUGACCCAAAGGAUUGUGCUGGAGUCAUACUCUGUGCAGCUGAAAGGGCAACCCAAGUUGCUUUGCAGGCUAUACAAUGCUUAGGUGGUAAUGGGUAUGUAAAUGAGUACUCAACUGGCCGCCUUCUUCGAGAUGCCAAAUUGUAUGAAAUUGGGGCAGGGACUAGUGAAAUCAGAAGAAUGAUAAUUGGUCGUGAACUCUUUAAGCAGUGAGAGAGAACAUGCAUAGUGCGCUGCUGUAUGAAACAACCUGCAGAAGUCAAGUAAAUGAUUUUUUCCCCGCUUUCUGAAAUGUAAAAUUCUUACAGCACAGGGAAAGACUGUACAUCAAUACAUGAUCAUUGGAAUAAAAUUUACCGUUUUAAUUUUAUUGCAGAAAAUGAUCAUUUUAACAUUCAUUUUAAUAUUCCAUGGAAUUUCAAAAAAUCCAAGCAUCCUAAAGACAUGUAUUUUUGAAUGAAUUACACUGCUUUGUCCAUUGAUGAGAAGUCACUAUUGGGAAAGCUUGAACCCAAUUCUUUCUGUGAUGAAUAUUUGCUUAUUUGUUUGAUUGUUAGUUUGUCCGACAAACUGAAAUUGUCAUUUUAUCAAUGUUAGGUUCCAGAAUAGUUUUUCGUUGAAAUGCUAGUUAGUUUUUGGGUUCUUUCUGCAUUUACUUUAUUUUUUUAUUACACUUUGUUUUUUACUUUGUACUCUCUUUAGUCAUAGGAUGCCAUUUUAUUUGAUUCAAUAUAAU
RNAcentral lists this unclassified non-coding RNA (1572 nucleotides) under Hevea brasiliensis (rubber tree). The record is from RNAcentral. Lineage: Eukaryota; Viridiplantae; Streptophyta; Magnoliopsida; Malpighiales; Euphorbiaceae.